Molecule: ribosomal RNA, 497 nt
Filed under: uncultured bacterium
Lineage: Bacteria
Description: partial 16S ribosomal RNA
Rfam family: Bacterial small subunit ribosomal RNA
Source: RNAcentral
GAUGAACGCUGGCGGCGUGCCUAAUACAUGCAAGUCGAGCGAACAGACGAGGAGCUUGCUCCUUUGACGUUAGCGGCGGACGGGUGAGUAACACGUGGAUAACCUACCUACAAGACUGGGAUAACUUCGGGAAACCGGAGCUAAUACCGGAUAACAUGUUGAACCGCAUGGUUCAACAGUGAAAGACGGUCUUGCUGUCACUUAUAGAUGGAUCCGCGCCGCAUUAGCUAGUUGGUAAGGUAACGGCUUACCAAGGCAACGAUGCGUAGCCGACCUGAGAGGGUGAUCGGCCACACUGGAACUGAGACACGGUCCAGACUCCUACGGGAGGCAGCAGUAGGGAAUCUUCCGCAAUGGGCGAAAGCCUGACGGAGCAACGCCGCGUGAGUGAAGAAGGUCUUCGGAUCGUAAAACUCUGUUAUUAGGGAAGAACAAAUGUGUAAGUAACUAUGCACGUCUUGACGGUACCUAAUCAGAAAGCCACGGCUAACUACGUG